CUUGGGGGAAGGGUACUUGACAGAUAUCGCAGCUCCUUAUCACCUGAAAGUGCCGAGGCAUUGAUAACAACUCGUGAUUGGAUAUAUGGAAUCGGAGCUGCAUCAACUGAUGUUGAGGAAGUGAAAGAUAAUGAUAUUAGUGAGGAUGUAUUGGCAUUUGAGCCAGCAAACAACAAUGAGGCAAUUCAUACUGGAGCAUCUUGAAGUGAUACACUUCUAGAC
Molecule: long non-coding RNA, 222 nt
Organism: Papaver somniferum (opium poppy)
Lineage: Eukaryota; Viridiplantae; Streptophyta; Magnoliopsida; Ranunculales; Papaveraceae
Exons: 3
Source: RefSeq, a predicted model, not a curated record